Long non-coding RNA from Esox lucius (northern pike), 635 nucleotides. RefSeq lists it as uncharacterized. NCBI's taxonomy places the organism in Eukaryota, Metazoa, Chordata, Actinopteri, Esociformes, Esocidae. The transcript is spliced from 3 exons. The record is from RefSeq and is a predicted model, not a curated record.
AGGAGGAGAGUACUAGUUGGAGCACAGUUGGAGUUGCAUUGGAGCUAAGGAGCAAAUAUGUAGGAUCCUGGGUAUUCUGUCUUUAAGCAUUGGCUAUAGGAUCUUCUCAUAAAGGGCUUGUAAAGAACAGUGGGCUUUAAAUCAAUCCUGAAUGAAAGCCGACAGUACUUUGGUUAUGGUUCUCAAGAUAUUCAGAAGACUUCAACACAGGUACCAUUGUAAAGGGUGGACUCAGGCCAUUAUACCGCACGGACACCUGCCCUCUCUCUCCCCCUCUCUCCCUCUCCUACCCCCUUUGCCUCUCUCUCCCUCCACCCUAAAUGGGGCAGCCAGUGGGAUUCCUGGCAGAGUGAUUUGGUACGGUAUCAUAAAAUCACAUUGCCAGGGAUUUCCAACCAGCUGCUUGCCACGACACUUCAAACAUCAUCACCGUACCACCCAAUCCAAAGGCAGCCCGUUUCACCCCUCUAUAUGUAUCCACCAUCUCCAUGCUUCAUAUUCUGUCAUCAGCUUACCAGGAAGAAUUUUUCCUCAGGCCAAAGGCUCUUUUAUAGUCAGGAUAUAGCAAACAGCCUGUUCUAAUACAAAUGUUAUAUGCUCUAUAACAUAUACUUGGGUUGUUUUUCCAACUUCAG